Molecule: ribosomal RNA, 630 nt
Filed under: Triticum aestivum (bread wheat)
Lineage: Eukaryota; Viridiplantae; Streptophyta; Magnoliopsida; Poales; Poaceae
Description: partial small subunit ribosomal RNA
Source: RNAcentral
AUGGUAGAACGUUUUCUGGGAGAAGAAGUAAUCUACCAUAGCUUUGACAGUGCAGAGGACGACCCAUAUGGCUACUACGCUCCCGAGUUCCUUAAUGGAUUGACUCCCAACGGUCUGCCUCCGCAUGCACUCAAACUGAAGCUCAACUGCCCUAUCAUACUUCUGAGGAACAUUGAUCCGGCUAAUGGUCUGUGUAACGGGACGAGGCUUGUGGUGCGAGGUUUCCAGAGGAACGCCAUCGACGCAGAAAUCGUGAUUGGACAACACGCGGGUAGGAGGGUUUUCCUUCCUCGAAUACCCCUAUGCCCGUCGGACAACAACAUGUUUCCAUUCAAGUUCAAGAGGAAGCAAUUUCCUGUAAGGCUUAGCUUUGCUAUGACGAUUAACAAGGCUCAAGGACAGACGAUUCCGAUCGUUGGCGUGUACCUACCUAAUCCGGUGUUCUCUCAUGGUCAACUCUAUGUCGCAUUGUCUCGAGCCACCGCGAAGAGAAAUAUAAAGAUCCUUAUUGAGAAGGAGAAGGAGAAUGGCAAGAAGCAAAGCAGUAAAUCAAAGAAGCGAAAAAGACCUGCCUUGUCCUUACAGACCUCAAUGAAGAACAUCGUCUAUAAGGAAGUCCUUACAGGCUGA